GACGGGCGAGGUCGGAAAGGCUCCCGACGCUCCCGCGAGGGAAUCUGAGAUGCAGGAUACGCCUCCCUGCCGUUGCU
RNAcentral lists this non-coding RNA (77 nucleotides) under unclassified sequences. RNAcentral describes it as "skipping-rope RNA". It matches the Rfam family "skipping-rope RNA". From Rfam's summary of the family: Firmicutes, Fusobacteria, AlphaProteobacteria, Spirochaetes. Downstream gene The record is from Rfam by way of RNAcentral.